RNAcentral lists this ribosomal RNA (1079 nucleotides) under Staphylococcus pseudintermedius. RNAcentral describes it as "bacterial LSU rRNA". It matches the Rfam family "Bacterial large subunit ribosomal RNA", at positions 387 to 1471 of the family's 2925-position model. Lineage: Bacteria; Bacillati; Bacillota; Bacilli; Caryophanales; Staphylococcaceae. The record is from RNAcentral.
GAAUUCUCUCUUGAGUGGAUCCUGAGUACGACGGAGCACGUGAAAUUCCGUCGGAAUCUGGGAGGACCAUCUCCUAAGGCUAAAUACUCUCUAGUGACCGAUAGUGAACCAGUACCGUGAGGGAAAGGUGAAAAGUACCCCGGAAGGGGAGUGAAAGAGAACUUGAAACCGUGUGCUUACAAGUAGUCAGAGCCCGUUAAUGGGUGAUGGCGUGCCUUUUGUAGAAUGAACCGGCGAGUUACGAUCUGAUGCAAGGUUAAGCAGAAAAUGUGGAGCCGUAGCGAAAGCGAGUCUGAAUAGGGCGAAUGAGUAUUUGGUCGUAGACCCGAAACCAGGUGAUCUACCCUUGGUCAGGUUGAAGUUCAGGUAACACUGAAUGGAGGACCGAACCGACUUACGUUGAAAAGUGAGCGGAUGAACUGAGGGUAGCGGAGAAAUUCCAAUCGAACUUGGAGAUAGCUGGUUCUCUCCGAAAUAGCUUUAGGGCUAGCCUCAAGUGAUGAUUAUUGGAGGUAGAGCACUGUUUGGACGAGGGGCCCCUCUCGGGUUACCGAAUUCAGACAAACUCCGAAUGCCAAAUAAUUUAACUUGGGAGUCAGAAUGUGGGUGAUAAGGUCCAUAUUCGAAAGGGAAACAGCCCAGACCACCAGCUAAGGUCCCAAAAUAUAUGUUAAGUGGAAAAGGAUGUGGCGUUGCCCAGACAACUAGGAUGUUGGCUUAGAAGCAGCCAUCAUUUAAAGAGUGCGUAAUAGCUCACUAGUCGAGUGACACUGCGCCGAAAAUGUACCGGGGCUAAACAUAUUACCGAAGCUGUGGAUUGUCCUUUGGACAAUGGUAGGAGAGCGUUCUAAGGGCGUUGAAGCAUGAUCGCAAGGACAUGUGGAGCGCUUAGAAGUGAGAAUGCCGGUGUGAGUAGCGAAAGACGGGUGAGAAUCCCGUCCACCGAUUGACUAAGGUUUCCAGAGGAAGGCUCGUCCGCUCUGGGUUAGUCGGGUCCUAAGCUGAGGCCGACAGGCGUAGGCGAUGGAUAACAGGUUGAUAUUCCUGUACCACCAUUAUUCGUUUUAAGCGAUGGGGGG